GGAGCAGCAAAAAUGUUUAGAAAAAAGGAGACCAGGUGGGAGAAUGCAGCAAAUCAGAAAUAUAAUGUUUGCUUCAUAUAGCUGCCAUUCACAUAAUUAAUACUUGAGGAAUUUUCUAAGGUGAUAAAACCAAAGAAAAGCAUGUGGAAAAACAAAUUGGUUACCGAAUAAGCUUUCUAGUUCUUCUUUGUCAGUGAAAUCUCAUUUAGUGUAUAUUGUUAAUAUUUUCAGUCCUCAGUUCUCAGACAAGGCUUAGGGUGCUACAAGUCUUAAGAGGUGAUACUGAGGGAAGUGUGAGGCCCCCUCUGAAACCCUUCUCAUG
Molecule: long non-coding RNA, 322 nt
Filed under: Bos taurus (domestic cattle)
Lineage: Eukaryota; Metazoa; Chordata; Mammalia; Artiodactyla; Bovidae
Description: long non-coding RNA NONBTAT012161
Source: RNAcentral